Molecule: long non-coding RNA, 739 nt
Organism: Myotis davidii
Lineage: Eukaryota; Metazoa; Chordata; Mammalia; Chiroptera; Vespertilionidae
Exons: 2
Source: RefSeq, a predicted model, not a curated record
UAGGUCCUCUAAGGACCCUCAGCUACUCUAUGCUAAGCUAAGGCAAGCUAGGUCCUCUAAGGUCCCUCAGCUACUCUAGCCUAAGCUAACCUAAGCUAAGCUAAGGUAGGUCUUCUAAGGUCCCUCAGCUACUCUAGCCUAAUAUAAGCUAAGCUAGGUCUUCAUCGGUCCCUCAGCUACUCUAUCUCCCGCUAAGCUAAGCUAGGUCAUCGAAGUUCAGUGCUCCCUCACAAUCCUGUGCUCUCUAGGCUAAACAAAAUUAUGUCCUCAAAAGUCUUUUUUCCCUUACUAACUCAUAGUCCUCUAGGCUAAAGUAAGCUAUGUCUUCAAAUGUCGCAUUUCUCUCACUAUGCUGAAACACUCUAGUGUAUGAGAAACUAAGCUUGCCUAGGUCCAUAACGGUCUCAUCUCCCUCACAAACGUCAGUUACUCUAUGCUACGUCCUCGAAGGUCUAUACCCCCUCACUAUGCUAAGCUAUGCUAGGCUAAUGUAAGCUAAAGGCUGCAAAAUUGUACUAGUAUCUUAAAAAUUAUACCGUGGCUCGUGGGUGAGUGUUGACUUAUGACCCAGGAGGUCAAGGUUGGAUUCCUCUUCAGUGCACCUGCUGGGGUUGAUGGCUGGGUCCCCCUUCUGGGAGUACAGGAUACAGCGAGUCAGUCGCUCUCUCUUGUCGUUGAUGUUUCCAUCUCUCUCCCUCUGCUUACCUCUGUGAAAUCAAUAAAAAAAUAUUUUUAAAAA